GUCUUUGUAGUAUAAUAUAAUACCCCGGUCUUGUAAACCGGAAAUGGAAAAUAUCUACCCCUAAGACA
Molecule: transfer RNA, 68 nt
Filed under: Cacajao calvus (bald uakari)
Lineage: Eukaryota; Metazoa; Chordata; Mammalia; Primates; Pitheciidae
Also listed under: 1 other name
Description: tRNA-Thr
Rfam family: tRNA
About the family: Transfer RNA (tRNA) molecules are approximately 80 nucleotides in length. Their secondary structure includes four short double-helical elements and three loops (D, anti-codon, and T loops).
Source: RNAcentral